RNAcentral lists this ribosomal RNA (501 nucleotides) under uncultured bacterium. RNAcentral's name for it is "partial 16S ribosomal RNA". It matches the Rfam family "Bacterial small subunit ribosomal RNA", at positions 28 to 507 of the family's 1533-position model. The record is from RNAcentral.
GACGAACGCUGGCGGCGUGCCUAAUACAUGCAAGUCGAGCGGACCGGAUUGGGGCUUGCCUUGAUUCGGUCAGCGGCGGACGGGUGAGUAACACGUGGGCAGCCUGCCCGCAAGACCGGGAUAACUCCGGGAAACCGGAGCUAAUACCGGAUAACACCGAAGACCGCAUGGUCUUCGGUUGAAAGGCGGCCUUUGGGCUGUCACUUGCGGAUGGGCCCGCGGCGCAUUAGCUAGUUGGUGAGGUAACGGCUCACCAAGGCGACGAUGCGUAGCCGGCCUGAGAGGGUGACCGGCCACACUGGGACGGAGACACGGCCCAGACUCCUACGGGAGGCAGCAGUAGGGAAUCUUCCGCAAUGGGCGAAAGCCUGACGGAGCGACGCCGCGUGAGCGAAGAAGGCCGUCGGGUCGUAAAGCUCUGUUGUGAGGGACGAAGGAGCGUCGUUCGAAGAGGGCGGCGCGGUGACGGUACCUCACGAGAAAGCCCCGGCUAACUACGUG